UGGGUUGUAACACUACAACUCCCAUGAUUCAUAGUGUUUGUUGUCUUCCUGUUAGGCGGCCAGUUCAAGUUGCCAUAGCAGACGAUAGCGGUAUCACAAGUUGAUCAUCCGAAAAUUGUCUAACAACUGGGCAUUCGGCCCCUGAUUCAUGGCAGUAUGGACUCCUCCAGUGAAUCUGGCACAUAUAAUAGACCCAGAGGGCAUCGAUGGCGGGCUAGGGAAAGGUCAGACAGUGGGUUUCCAAGGGAUACACAUGUAUCAGACAUAUCGGUCAAAAUCGACACUUUAGCAAACACUCUCCAGGAUACAAGCCGAAAUCUAAACAAAGUGGAUCGGAUGUUGGAACAGUACAAGGAACACGCAGAUGAUCAAGUUGAAGCCAUGGCGACGCUGAGAGAGAGCUUAGAGGAGUCAGUCCAGCAUCUGCAGGGACAGCGUUUGAGGAAGUCUACCAGUGGGUGGAGAACUUCGAAUUCCAUACUGCAAACAAGUGACUUGGAGGAUGGCAGCGCCACAGGUACAGCAACAUGAGAUGUAGCUUCUCUUUAUAUAUAUAUAUAUAUACUGUAUAUGGGAUGAAAAGUUUUCACCAAAAUAGAGAAACCGUUUCUAAGUUUUUAGUGUGCACAAAUAUUUUACAGUACUUUAGAAAUGCUCGAAAAUGUAUCUGUUAAUGUAUUCAAUCAAUUAUAUUUGAUUAACCAAAGUCAAUUUCACGUCUGUCACAUCCAUAACAGAGAGAUGUCACAUCCAUAAA
RNAcentral lists this long non-coding RNA (757 nucleotides) under Danio rerio (zebrafish). RNAcentral describes it as "lncRNA (ENSDARG00000117515.1)". The record is from RNAcentral. Lineage: Eukaryota; Metazoa; Chordata; Actinopteri; Cypriniformes; Danionidae.